UACAGAGGGUGCAAGCGUUAAUCGGAAUGACUGGGCGUAAAGGGUGCGUAGGUGGUUAAUUAAGUUUCAUGUGAAAGCCCCGGGCUCAACCUGGGAAUGGCAUGGAAAACUGAAUAGCUUGAGUAGAGGAGAGGUGAGUGGAAUUUCCGAUGUAGCAGUGAAAUGCGUAGAGAUCGGGAGGAACAUCAGUGGCGAAGGCGACUCACUGGACUCAUACUGACACUGAAGCACGAAAGCGUGUGGAGCAAACAGG
This 253-nucleotide ribosomal RNA is filed under the name uncultured bacterium. RNAcentral's name for it is "partial 16S ribosomal RNA". It matches the Rfam family "Bacterial small subunit ribosomal RNA", at positions 524 to 776 of the family's 1533-position model. The record is from RNAcentral.